AUUGAACGCUGGCGGCAGGCCUAACACAUGCAAGUCGAGCGGAUGAAGGGAGCUUGCUCCUGGAUUCAGCGGCGGACGGGUGAGUAAUGCCUAGGAAUCUGCCUGGUAGUGGGGGAUAACGUCCGGAAACGGGCGCUAAUACCGCAUACGUCCUGAGGGAGAAAGUGGGGGAUCUUCGGACCUCACGCUAUCAGAUGAGCCUAGGUCGGAUUAGCUAGUUGGUGGGGUAAAGGCCUACCAAGGCGACGAUCCGUAACUGGUCUGAGAGGAUGAUCAGUCACACUGGAACUGAGACACGGUCCAGACUCCUACGGGAGGCAGCAGUGGGGAAUAUUGGACAAUGGGCGAAAGCCUGAUCCAGCCAUGCCGCGUGUGUGAAGAAGGUCUUCGGAUUGUAAAGCACUUUAAGUUGGGAGGAAGGGCAGUAAGUUAAUACCUUGCUGUUGUGACGUGACCAACAGAAUAAGCACCGGCUAACUUCG
This 482-nucleotide ribosomal RNA is filed under the name uncultured bacterium. Its description in RNAcentral is "partial 16S ribosomal RNA". It matches the Rfam family "Bacterial small subunit ribosomal RNA", at positions 30 to 505 of the family's 1533-position model. The record is from RNAcentral.